AAUAAAAUUAAAAGAUGAGUGGAUAUAGAUAUGAAUUUAGAUAUUAAGAUAAAUUCAGAUUUACUCUAGAUCCAUCUUAGAUCCACACAUUAAUAUUCAAAUUUGAUCUAAAUUUAUUUUAAACUGAUCCAAAUCUAAUCUGAUUAAAUUUAAAUUACGUAAAUCUUGGGUCAAAUCCAAUCCAUUAUAAUCCCUAAUAUAAUCCCAAUCAAUAAUGUGGCCCUACUGGACUCGACUAGCUUACAGAAUCUGUGAGCUACUUAAACAAUAGAAAAUGAGACGGUGGGAUGACGGGAGAUGUUAGGUACAGAAUCUGUACCAUAGGCAAGUCCGGCUCUCACUUAACUAAGGUAGCGUACUGUCACCUGUGAAGUGCUUGUUCUAAUAAAUUCUAAUCGCACUUUUUUUUUUUUUUUCCGUAUUGAAUUAAUGAGUUUCACACAUCACUUUCAUGCACAGGUUGUGAUUGCUCUUGUUGUUCAAGUACACUUUCGCCUAUUAAUAAAAAGAGUUUUGCUAAUUCACAACCUAUGUAACUCACAACCUCUAUAAUAUGGCAGUAGGUUCAAUUGUCAUAUUAUUAGUCUUUGUACAUUCACUUUGAUAAAAUAUUAGUACCCUUAUGAUUUGAUGUUUACUUUGAUAAAAAUAUAUGUUGA
This 659-nucleotide long non-coding RNA is filed under the name Citrus x clementina. Its description in RNAcentral is "Citrus clementina (C. clementina) long non-coding RNA (CCLE_LNC003454)". The record is from RNAcentral. Lineage: Eukaryota; Viridiplantae; Streptophyta; Magnoliopsida; Sapindales; Rutaceae.